Molecule: ribosomal RNA, 830 nt
Filed under: Micromonospora sp. NBM 11
Lineage: Bacteria; Bacillati; Actinomycetota; Actinomycetes; Micromonosporales; Micromonosporaceae
Description: bacterial SSU rRNA
Rfam family: Bacterial small subunit ribosomal RNA
Source: RNAcentral
GGCGUGCUUAACACAUGCAAGUCGAGCGGAAAGGCCCUUCGGGGUACUCGAGCGGCGAACGGGUGAGUAACACGUGAGCAACCUGCCCUAGGCUUUGGGAUAACCCCGGGAAACCGGGGCUAAUACCGAAUACGACCUUCCACCGCAUGGGGUUGGGUGGAAAGUUUUUCGGCCUGGGAUGGGCUCGCGGCCUAUCAGCUUGUUGGUGGGGUGAUGGCCUACCAAGGCGACGACGGGUAGCCGGCCUGAGAGGGCGACCGGCCACACUGGGACUGAGACACGGCCCAGACUCCUACGGGAGGCAGCAGUGGGGAAUAUUGCACAAUGGGCGGAAGCCUGAUGCAGCGACGCCGCGUGAGGGAUGACGGCCUUCGGGUUGUAAACCUCUUUCAGCAGGGACGAAGCGUAAGUGACGGUACCUGCAGAAGAAGCGCCGCCCAACUACGUGCCAGCAGCCGCGGUAAGACGUAGGGCGCGAGCGUUGUCCGGAUUUAUUGGGCGUAAAGAGCUCGUAGGCGGCUUGUCGCGUCGACUGUGAAAACCCGCGGCUCAACUGCGGGCCUGCAGUCGAUACGGGCAGGCUAGAGUUCGGUAGGGGAGACUGGAAUUCCUGGUGUAGCGGUGAAGUGCGCAGAUAUCAGGAGGAACACCGGUGGCGAAGGCGGGUCUCUGGGCCGAUACUGACGCUGAGGAGCGAAAGCGUGGGGAGCGAACAGGAUUAGAUACCCUGGUAGUCCACGCUGUAAACGUUGGGCGCUAGGUGUGGGGGGCCUCUCCGGUUCCCUGUGCCGCAGCUAACGCAUUAAGCGCCCCGCCUGGGGAGUACGGCC